RNA transcript from Prosopis cineraria, 859 nucleotides. It is a transcript of the gene named NADH dehydrogenase [ubiquinone] 1 alpha subcomplex subunit 8-B-like, with no coding region annotated. Lineage: Eukaryota; Viridiplantae; Streptophyta; Magnoliopsida; Fabales; Fabaceae. The transcript has 5 exons. The record is from RefSeq and is a predicted model, not a curated record.
UCUAAACCAUGAAACCCACGGAGCAUUUUAGCAUUUCACCUUCACCCAUUCCCCAUCCACUCUUAGUCGUCGUUCUUCUCCUUUUCUCCUAGCUAGGACGACGAGAAAUCGACAAACUUCAAGGCAAAUUUAUAUAAUUUUGUAAAUCCGAAGAAGUUGAGUGAUCAAUUGGAUAUGGCGAGCGCGGUAGAUGCUGCUGGGAAUCCGAUCCCGACCUCGGCUGUCUUGAUGGCUUCAUCGAAGCACAUAGGAAUAAGAUGCCAUUCGGAGAAUGUGGAAUUCCUGAAAUGCAAGAAGAAUGAUCCAAAUCCAGACAAAUGCCUCGACAAAGGUCGUGAAGUUACUCGAUGCGUCCUUGGCCUGCUCAGGGAUCUACACCAAAAGUGCACAAAGGAGAUGGAUGAAUAUGUUGGAUGCAUGUACUACCACACAAACGAAUUUGACUUGUGUCGCAAAGAGCAGCAAACAUUUGAGAAAGCAUGCUCCUUGGAAUGAAAGUAUGCAUUUUCCUUGUUGACAAUAAACACACAGGCCAGCAAAUCUUAGAGCGUGAAGGACUGAAGGUCAUUCUAUCAAAUUACAGCUGUGCAAGUAGUUCAAUGGUCUGACAAACCCGGUCCUAUCUGAGCCAUUCAGGCUUUUGGGUCGAGCAUCUUUCUAGUGUGAAUCUCAACCCUACACUAUCCAUGUGGAGCCCUGCAUCAAACCAAACCAAAUGCAACCUUAAAUCAGUUUUAUAUAUAGCCACGUACCAUAGUUGAUGGGAUUUUCCUAAACAGAAUUACUAUUGAAGUGUUGGGUUCCGACUAGAGCUGGUUAAUGAAGAAUUUAAAUAUAGAACUGAAAAAAAGUUGCUUUA